RNAcentral lists this non-coding RNA (24 nucleotides) under Cricetulus griseus (Chinese hamster). Lineage: Eukaryota; Metazoa; Chordata; Mammalia; Rodentia; Cricetidae. The record is from RNAcentral.
CAUGGGCUUUCAGUGCUAUUUCAU